UACGUAGGUGGCAAGCGUUAUCCGGAACUAUUGGGCGUAAAGCGCGCGCAGGUGGUUUCUUAAGUCUGAUGUGAAAGCCCACGGCUCAACCGUGGAGGGUCAUUGGAAACUGGGAGACUUGAGUGCAGAAGAGGAAAGUGGAAUUCCAUGUGUAGCGGUGAAAUGCGUAGAGAUAUGGAGGAACACCAGUGGCGAAGGCGACUUUCUGGUUUGUAACUGACACUGAGGCGCGAAAGCGUGGGGAGCGAACAGG
RNAcentral lists this ribosomal RNA (253 nucleotides) under uncultured bacterium. RNAcentral's name for it is "partial 16S ribosomal RNA". It matches the Rfam family "Bacterial small subunit ribosomal RNA", at positions 524 to 776 of the family's 1533-position model. The record is from RNAcentral.